GUGCCUGGGAUCAGAAGCCAGGCUCUGAUUGAGGUCAGAGGUCACCCCGUGGCUGGGAUGGGAACUCAUUCUGUGCCUGGGUCAGGGCUCAGGCUAUGGCUGGGAGCAGAGUUUAGUUUGUAGCUGGGAUCAGGGGUCAGUCUAUGCUUUUGACCAGGGCUCAGCUUAGUCUGGGAUCAAGGGUCAAUUUGGGCUGGUGAUGGGGGCUCAGUCUGUGACCAGGGUGAGGGGUCGACCUAUAGGUGGCCUCAGGGGUUAGUCUGCGGCUGGGGUAAGGACUUGGUGUAUGGCUGGGAUGAGGGUUCAGUGUGUGACUGGGAUCAGAGGCCAGCCUGUAGCUGGGAUUAGGGAUGAGUCCAUAGCUGGAGUAGACACGCAGACUGUGUCUGUCAAGACUUAAUCUGUAGCUCGGAUCAGGGCUCAGACUGUAGCUGAGAUUAAGGAUCAGACCAGGGCAGGGGCUGGAGUUCAACCUGGUCUGGACAGUCUCUGCCCCUGCCCCGGCCGCCCAUUUUUCCCCAGCUGUCCUGGGUCAAGUUGCUGCAGCUGAACUUUGCUUCCUCUUUGGAUCAGAGCGUUCUUGGCCAGCACCCAGCAGCUGAUUCCCCAGGGGAGAGGCCCCGUUCCCGCCAGCCACAUUCCCACGCCGGCCUGGGAGGCUGCCAGAGAGUGGCUGGGUGUCGGGGGCUGCCUCCCAGGGGACCUGCCUCUCACCCUGCCCAGCUCUGAGGACAGCACGAGAUUCCUGCAGAUGGAGCUCCUAACCUGUCGCCCUGCAGGCACUGUGUGUUUGGACAGCUGGAAGCAGAGCUCGGCCUGUGACCUGCCUGGUCCAGCAACUGGACCUUCUGGAGAGUCACAGUGAGACACACAGCCACAUCCUGUAAAUGAAGACCUCGUGGCUCAGAGAGGUCAGGUAACUUCCCCAAAGCCUGUCUGGCCUCCCAGCACCAUCCCUAGUCCCAGAGGGGAGGUGGAAUGAAGGCAGGGCUAAGGCCAGGCUGCAUGGAGGCAGAGGCACCUGCCGGCCUGCAGGACCAAAGGUUCUAUUGGAGGCAGUGCCUGGGCAGACAAAGGCCCUCAGAUUCACAAGCUGAAGCCCUAGCACCCAGGGCCCCAGUGUGCUACUGUGUUUGGAGACAGGUAAAGGUUGUCAAGGUAAGACAGGGUGGCCCUGAUCCAAUAUGACUGGCGUCCUUGUAAGAAGAGGAGAUUGGGACAGACACGCCCCGAGGGAUGGCCAUGUGAGGGCGCCUCAGGAAGACGGUGUGCAAGAGCGGGAAGCGGGGCCUCGGAAGAGCCAGCCCUUGGAUCUCGGGCUUCCAGGAGAAUCAGUUCCUGCAGUUGAAGCCACCAGGGUCUGUGCAACUUUGUCACAGCUGCCCGAGCUGACAAAUUCACCUGACUUAAGCCCCCCGCCCCACCCGACCACAGUGUCACCCAGAUGCUUGGCAGGUGCUGUGGCAGGGGCUGGGUCCCUGCUCGACCUUCGGGUGCCGGGGUGUCCCGUAUAAGAGCAGCACAGCCACCGCCACGGCCACUCGCAGUUCCAGGCUCCGGGCAGCAUCUGGGACCCCAGUUCCUGUUGUGAGAGGCUCCCCACUGCCAUCCCACCCCCUGCAAGGUGCCUCGGAGAGCGGCUGGAGGCUGACGGGUCGAGGCCUGGGUUUUACGGUCCUGCCUGGGUUUCUGUGUGGCCUGGGGCUGCCUACCAUCUUUCCCUCUCUGGUCCCCCCUACUCUCAUAUACCAGGCUGGGUGACUGGGGCCCAGGAGCGGCCCCCCCCUCCUCUGGGCUUCCUGGUGGCACCCCUGGCCUGACAGCCCCUGGGAAGGCCUCCCCUCUCCAUCUCGGGGCCCAGCCCGGCCCCACCUGCUGAGCUGCAGCCUCCAAGGCCUCCUUCGCACGCGUGUCAGCUCUGACCUCAGGGCUCCCCACGCGUGUUCCCCUCUAGGAAGGCCCCCCCAGGGGCUCCCCAAAAUCCUGUCCUCCCUGAAGCACCUGUUCUUCGUGCUCCUCCAUGAGGGCCCGCACGGGGCCGCUGACCGCAGUCUCAGUCACAGCCUGGGAGCGCCUGGAGGUUGGGGGGCAGCAGGCGCUCAGUCAGUCCUCGGGUCACCAUGGAUGGCCUUGCUGUGUGAUCCACACUGAGGCCCAGUGGUCAGCUGGGGGGCUGGACAGGAGGCAGCCACUUCCUGGCCUGGCUGGUGACUCACAGGCCCGUUUCUGGGAAAACUCCCACCCACCCCCACUCAAUCCGGAUGGCGCAGAGCUCGCUGUGGGGACCAGCUGUGGGAAGUGCAUUUAAGCCAGAGAAAAGAAAAUGCCAUUCGGAAAAUCCUAAGGAAGAGAGGAUGCAUUUCCUCGUCUCCACGUGGAAGCGGAUCACCCUAAAGGUCUUCAUCCUGGUCUUUUUCAUGCUGAGGAGGCUGGGGAGGAGAAGGAAGAGGAGGGGCUGGUCUUGCUGACCCAGGAGCAGCAGAGAAAGGAGAAAAUCCACGUGCAGGGGCUGGCCAGCGCUGGGCUUCUCGGGAAUGGAAUCACACACGGACUGUGGCGUACACAUCACAACUUUAAACCCCGUCCGUACUGAAGCCUGCGUCCGAAUUUCUUCUGUUUUUGUGGCGGAAGGAUAAAUAUUCCAUUGUACAGACGGUCUACCCGGUUCAUCCGUCACCCACCCAUGGGCACCCGGGCCGUUUCCACCCUUAGUGAAGGAAGCCGCACGGGUGUUUGUGCGGACAGGAGCUUCCGUUUAUCUUGGGCGCACACCUAGGGGUGGAGUUGCUGGGUCUCGUGGUGACUGGUUGUUUCGGGAGCUGCCGGCAGGUGACCCAGCAGCUGGGCCGGUCCACAUUCCGUCCAGCAGCGUGCGAGUCUCUGAUCUUGGCGCCCACACCCCUGGCUGGCUCUCUCCUCCCUCCGACUUCGCAGCCACACCGGAGGCAGGUGGCAAUGAACUCAAGGUGUGCGGUCCCUCCCUCGGCGCCCAAGCCCCACACUGGGCCUGCCCUGGGCAUGAGUUGGCCAUUGGACCUGAGGCUGGAGAACCUGCCUGGGACAGAACAAAAUUCAAGUGUGAAGUUCUGGAAGGUUCUGGAGGGUUCCAGAGGCCUCCUGGAGCUCCCUGGGUCCCCUGGACUCCACAUGAGUGGCCACCCAGCCUGUGGUCUACGGCUGCCUAGGUUCACCCCCUUGGUCCCCCAGACACACACAGGGCAGCCCUUGUGUUCCUGGGGCCGCUGGUCCUGCAGCGUGAGCUGCCACCUGUAGGGAUCCCUCCCUGCCUGCCCACACCUGCCCCCCACGGCCGCCCCCCCUGCCUGGCCGCACCUGCCCCCCACGGCCG
Molecule: long non-coding RNA, 3349 nt
Filed under: Homo sapiens (human)
Lineage: Eukaryota; Metazoa; Chordata; Mammalia; Primates; Hominidae
Description: HSALNT0156888
Source: RNAcentral